GACACGCUUGCGGCGUGCCUAAGAAAUGCAAGUCGAGCGAGGUUUAGGCUUCGGCCGACGACCUAGCGGCGAACGGUCGCGUAACACGUAAGCAACCUGCCCUAAAGUUGGGGAUAGCCCGCCGAAAGGCGGAUUAAUACCGAAUGUGGAUAUGUAUUCGCAUGUAUAUAUAUCUGAAGCAGCGAUGCGCUUUAGGAUGGGCUUGCGGCCUAUCAGUUAGUUGGUGUGGGUAACGGCCUACCAAGACGACGACGGGUAGCUGGUCUGAGAGGAUGGUCAGCCGGAUUGGGACUGAGACACGGCCCAGACUCCUACGGGGGGCAGCAAUUAGGAAUCUUGCGCAAUGGGCGAAAGCCUGACGCAGCGACGCCGCGUGACUGAUGAAGUCUUUCGAGAUGUAAAGGUCUUUUGUUGGGGACGAAGGAAGUGACGGUACCCGACGAAUAAGCCCCGGCUAACUACGUG
This 465-nucleotide ribosomal RNA is filed under the name uncultured bacterium. RNAcentral describes it as "bacterial SSU rRNA". It matches the Rfam family "Bacterial small subunit ribosomal RNA", at positions 33 to 507 of the family's 1533-position model. The record is from RNAcentral.